RNAcentral lists this long non-coding RNA (5644 nucleotides) under Sus scrofa (pig). RNAcentral's name for it is "lncRNA (ENSSSCG00005044434.1)". Lineage: Eukaryota; Metazoa; Chordata; Mammalia; Artiodactyla; Suidae. The record is from RNAcentral.
AAGAAAGUCUCCUCCUCGCAUGUGUCUCGACUGUUCCACUGAUACUUCGUCCUCCCUUCCAGCCAUCCGAAACAACCCUGUUCUGGACAUCAGUCCUUCAAACAGUUUCUCAUACCUGAUUUCUCUGCCCUGCACCUCUAGGGUUACAUUUCUCUGAAAAUGCCCAUUUCUUCUGUGUCUGAAAAUAUGGUACAGAGAGGGCCCAGUAGCAUGUCGGAAGGGGUUGGAGAGAACAGUGAGUGCCUUUUCUACCUUCUCAGAGAGUGCCCUUCUUUGCUCUGUCCACCUGAGCAUGUCCGCUGUCUUGGAUGAUGCAGUUGUUUUAGUUCCUGCCAAACUCGCGACAACUAAACCCUAAGUCUUUUGGUCCAGGCUGCAUCUGGCCCAGGUCCCCUGCUGUGCCUUGGUGUUCUUGCUGUUUUGGACUUGGUGCUGGGCCUCUCAUUAUCCCUGUUGUCUAGCUCCUAGAUCCAGCUUCUGCACCCAGUCAAGAGCCAGUGACCUCAUGCCCCUGGGAGCACAUCUGCCCUCUUCACUGUGAGGGAGCUUGGAGAGGAGUGAGGGCCCCACAGUCUAGCCCUCUUGGCCCUUGGGAGGACCAGCCACUUCCUCUCUUCCUCCCUUGAGAAGUGAGCCUCCUUCACCCCAGGCAGUACUAAGGGUGCCCUCCACCACAUGGGCUCUGUGGGCUUCGGGGGCUGCCAUCAGGCCUGGCCCCAGAGCCACACCACAGCUGUCACACCUUGCGGAGGUACCUAUAGGCCCCUGCCUUUGGGCCCAGCCACAGCCUCCUUCCCUAGCUUUGUCACCUGAUCCAGGAGCCAGGACAUGGCCAGCUUCAUUGGCAGUGAGAGGUGAAGCAAGAGGCCACAGCCAGUCAGGUGACUAAAGUUCAUGUCUGUGCCCAACCUUCAUUUGUUUCCAAAUCCAGCCACAGACAUGAGACCCUCUCUCUUGGCUUUGAGGCCUCCAUGGAAGGGUUUAUUUAUGGUUUUAACCAGGACCUUUAUAGCCCAGUCCUGAGAAGAUUAUCUUUUUAUUACAACUUUGAUUAAUGAUUGAUCAAAAAGUGAUACUAGAAACACUGAAGAACAAAUUUGCCCUAGAGAUUAGCAAAGGUCUACAUCUGCCAGGCUUGGGGACCUGACCACCUGCUCUCUCCAGGGUUAAACCAGGACAAGGGUACAUUGGAAGACCCAACCCACUUCCUCUCUCUAUCUCUCUUUCUCUGUCUCUCUCUCUCUUACACACACACACACACACACAGGAAAAAUACAGAUGUAAAUAUCCUUAAAUACUUUUGAAAUUAGAUAGGCUCUAAAUUGCAAAUGAGCAGGGACAGAGCAAAAGGACCCUAGGGGCUCUUAAUAGAAAUUUUCUUUUUUUUUUUGUUUCUAUUAAUACCUAAUACAAAUUUUAAGGGCCCAAUUCUACUGCCUCAGAGGCUGGAGAGCCAGGAAUCUGCAUAUUAACAACCUCCUCCCAAGUUUCAGCCAGUCCCCACCCUCUGUGAGCCCCAGGAAGCAGGGUACUGGCUGGAAUGCUUUUUUCUUGCCCCUCAUCCUCUGUAGUGCCCUGCGGCAUGGGGAGUGGAGAGCUGGCAGAGCAGUUUGUAAAUGGAAACUGGAAAAUGAAACUAGAAAUCACAGCCUCACAACCCAAAGAGUCGGGCUUUCUUUUCCACACAGAGAGUCCCUGAGGAAGAAAGUGGAGGAAGAGGGAAAAGCAUGUUUAGCAAAGGCAGCAAGGUGGAGCUGUUUUUUUUUUAAGCACCCUGGCAGUUGGCACACAAAUACAGGGUUGCCACAGCCGUCUUCAGGGCAGGAGGUGCCAGCAAAGAUGCACAGUGCUGCACCAGCUUCCCCCAGCCUGGCCAUCUACUGUCAGCCCUGGAGGGCUUCCUCUCCAGCAAAAGCUAAUUUCACACUUUAUGUUGAAAAACUAUUUUCAGAGAAUAAGAACUAUGUCUAGUCACUUAUGAUGGAGCAUGAUAAUGGGAGAAAAAAGCAUGUAUACAUGUAUGUGUAACUGGUUCACCAUACUGUACAGUAGGGAAAAAAAUUGUAUUGGGGAAAUAACAAAAAAUUUUUGAAAAAGAAAAAAAUUUUAAAUGUUUCUUAGAAUUGAACACUUCAUGCCAGCAUUUGGUACCAGCAGCUUCUUGCCCCACUGGGCCUCUCCCACGUGCACACGAAGAACUUUGAUGAGCAAUGGAGGUGCUUGAGUUUAGCCGAGGAUCAGAGAUCAAACGCCCGAGUCUGCCUUCCCUGCUGGUCUCCCACAGCACUCAAACCUGAGUUUGUGCUCACCCAGGCGCAAACACAGAAAAGCAGCUGGCCGCAAAGGCACUGCUUGAGGCAGUUUUGAGGCUACCACAGAGCAGCUUUCAUGGAAGCAGAUUUCCUGAAGGGCCUGGAAUGCGGGGGAGAGAAGGGCUGUGGGAUAGGGGCCAAGACUGUCCCUACCUGCAACUCUGCACCUUCCUGGCUGCCCCACCCCCAAUGCCACACAGGCCUUUGAUUAAGACCUCGAAGGUGGGUGCAUCCUCUCAUAGGACACCGGGUUUUCCAGCUAUUUGUGUAGUUAUUUGCCUCCCAUCUUUGUCCCUUCCUGGAACAAAACUCUUCAGGUCCGUAUUAUUCACUGCUAUAUCCUUGAUUCUUUGAAUAGUGCCUGACACUUGAUAGGGGCAUGAAAAAGUAUAUGUUCCAUGAGUGAGGCAGCCUGAAAGUGAAGGAGGCAGUGGACAGGUAGAUGCCCCAGUGCUGCUAUCCCCAGACUCCUGCCUGUGAAAUGCUUUAACUGUCCCAGUGUGUAUAGGUGAGGGCUUAGAGGGAGAGGAGGGGGUGUGGGGUGCUUCUGUGGCUCAUCCUCCAUGGCCCUAGUUCUGUCCCCCUUACCUGACAGAUGGGCUCACAUAGCCUUUCCCAACAGGCCGAGACACUUGGCUUCUUGGGCUACCCAGAAAAGAAAGGCCACCUUUAGCCCCUGGGUCAAAAGGAAACAAGCCAGGGUUGGGGGAGGUUGUCAUAGUGAUAAAAAGGUGCAGCAAGGUAAGGAUCUGGCAUUGUCACAGCUAUGGCUCUGGUCACCACGGUGGUGUGGGUGUGACCUCUGGUGCAGCCAGAGCCAGAAAAAAAAAGGCGGGGGGAACAUAAGAAGGAUGCCAGUGGAUGGUCUUCCGGGAGGAGAUGGGAACAUGGGGAGCAGCCUUAACAUCAGGCCCCACACCUUUUAUUCUUCUCAGCCUCACUUUCUCAUCCAUUAAUGGGAUUUGUUCUUGUGUAUGUGCCUGGAAGAGAAGUAUAACAGAAGAUAAAAGGGUGGAAUUUUAAAUAUUCCAGAGUAAAAUUUCAGCUCUGCAUUUAUGGGCUAUGUGACCUUGAGCCAAUUACUGAGUCUCUCUUGCCUCAUUUUUCUUUUCUGUCAGGUGGGAACAGUGAUAGUGGAUUCUAUGAGUUAAUUCCUGUUCCUGACACCUGCCAAGGGCUCAGUUGUCAUUAGCUAUUACCUUAGCAGGGCUUGUGAGGGUCCAACGAGAUGGCAAAUGUCAGCACAGUUCCCAGACCCGAAGGCACUGUACAAAUAUGAAGAAACAGUAUUAUUUUGGAAAUAUUGAAGGCACAGCUUCCCUCCCCCAUUUGUCUGGGGUGGGGCAGCAGUUUUACUUAUUUAAUGUUAGCUUGAAGGUGUACCAAAGGAAGGUGAAAAACUGAAACCGCCAACCGUUUGAGCUGUAGGCUGCAUUGAAACAGUGUGGCCGGUGCAGAUGGUGAGGGCCUGGGCAGGCCCACUUCCUCCCUGCGUGCUACGGGUCUUCCUCAUACCAGCCGCUUCCCAAGGCUGCAGGAAGUGGGGCCAGGAACACUUCAGGGUGUGUGCAGGCAGGCUUGGGCUGAAGGUCGGCAGCUGCUAGGGUGAGAGCAGAAGCCUUCCAGGUCCUUGGUGUGUUCUGGGUGUAGCUUCUGCCCUCUCCCUGCCCUGGCCUGCCCAGGAUGGGUUCGUAGCAAACUCCCCACCGAGGCUCUUCUCUCUUGAGGUUGCAAGCCACUGCAGAGAGGGUGUCCAGCCCAAGUGGGGCAGGCUUGAGAGGAGAGUCGAUUCUUUUCUCAAAGGAAAUGCAGUUGUGGUUUUGAGACGUUCACUUCACAUCUGUGGUUGGCGUUUCCCAGGGUUCUCAGAGGUGAAUGCAGGGUCAGCCCAAUAUAGCCAAAUAAGGUUCACCAGUGACCUUAGCAACAGCCUUCGCUGCCCAUUGGCUGACACUGCUGCUGCCAGCCAAUGCGGCCUCCUGCAGGCUAGCGCUGAAGCUGGGCUAAAGCUUCCACAUGUGCAGGGAUCCAGCUGCUGCCUGUCAGAAAUCACUGCCCUUUGAAGCAGCACAGAUAGGGAGAGAGCUUUGAGCAAAGGUGUCAAGGCGACAGGACUGCCUGGGUGCCCACGUUUCGGAGUCCACCUAGCCAGCCCUCCACUGACUGAGUCUUCACACAGCACCAGUCUGCUCCCUCGGCUGAUGGCCUUGUCUCAGCUUGCCGAGAUGAGAUGUCCCCUCCCAUGCCCAUCCUGUCCUGGCGACCUUGGAACUCCAUAGUUCCCAUUCCUCCUUCCUGCUCUUUCCUCCUUUGUUUCAAGCCCUCUGCUAAGCUCCCUCUACACAUCCUCUCUUUUAACUCUCUUAGUAAACCUGUGAGUGAAUUAGCCCCAUUUUACAGAUAAGGAAACUGAGUCUAAAGAAGUCAGGUAACUGGCCCUAUGUUGCACCAGUAUGUAGGGAAGCUGCAAUUGGAACCCAGUUUUACAGGUUCAGCCCCCACACUGUUAACUGUUGUACUACAUUGGCAGUCGGCCAAUGUCUCUGUGCCUCAGUACCUUCACCUGUGACCUGGGAUGAUAAUACCUACUUCAGAGGCUUGGGAUGAGGAGGGUAUGGAGUGACUGAUGUGCAGGAAUCCAGUGCAAAGUGGUGGCUUGUCCGGUGGCACAACUUGGCACCUGUAGGCUUUGGUGCCUCCUAGGCAUGCAUGCUCUGUGGGCAGCCUGCACAUUCCUCUCCCACAGAGUGUACUGCUGAAAUCUUGAGGUUUGUGGACAAGACUUCUCUGGGCCUUCCUAGGUGGUUUCCACUUCCUCAUUCCUAGCCUCCUCCCACCCUCACUUAGCUGCAUCACUGAAGUAGAGAGGCUGGAGAAGAGCGUGCUACUGGGAGGCCCCAGCCUCUGGGCACAGAGGGGACGGGAUGGGCAGGCUGGAGGGGACGAGUUCAGAGGACUAAAGGUGGGCCAGUUAAACUGCAAGUGCAGGCAUCCCUCAUUUCCUCUGUCCCUCUAGCGAGUAUCCGUAUCCCGGAUAAUGUUCAGUUGUUAGAGCACUGCUUCCCUGAGGAACAUUUUCAGAAUGGAAAAGGACAUAGGAGUUCCUGUCGUGGCUCACUGUUUAACGAAUCCAACUAAGAACCAUGAGGUUGCAGGUUCGAUCCCUGGCCUUGCUCAGUGGGUUAAGGAUCCAGCAUUACCGUGAGCUGUGGUGUAGGUCACAGACGUGGCUCGGAUCCCAUGUUGCUGUGGCUCUGGCGUAGGCUUGGCAGCUACAGCUCUGAUUAGACCCCUGGCCUGGGAACCUCCAUGUGCCGCAGGUGCGGCCCUAG